Non-coding RNA from Arthrobacter sp. Soil763, 79 nucleotides. NCBI's taxonomy places the organism in Bacteria, Bacillati, Actinomycetota, Actinomycetes, Micrococcales, Micrococcaceae. The record is from Rfam.
CGCGGUCCUCGGUAGUGACCUCCGGGAGCGGCUUCAAUGAACUGAAGCCCCAGCCCGUGGGUCUCGAUCGAUGACCGGG